GCCCAUGACCUUACCACCCUGAAUGUGCCUGAUCUUGUUUUAUCUCAGAAACUAAGCAAGGCCAGACCUGUUAGUACUUUGAUGGUAUAAGAGGGGCAAGAUUUCUUUUGUU
RNAcentral lists this ribosomal RNA (112 nucleotides) under Saimiri boliviensis boliviensis (Bolivian squirrel monkey). Lineage: Eukaryota; Metazoa; Chordata; Mammalia; Primates; Cebidae. The record is from RNAcentral.